AUGACACAAGGUAACCUCCUCAUACUCAACAGACGCCGUACCAACCUCUGCAACAUAAAGAUGCCAAAUUGCAUACCUCUAUUAGCAAUAAAUGACGACAAACCCGAUGAUCACCGCCGCGACGAGGCACCCAAGCAGUACUUCAUAUCCUGCAUACUCUCAGAAGGCAAUGAAUUUCAAGGCACGGGUAGAAAGGAAGGGGAAAAGGCAGCAAUGAUGAAUAGCCAUUGCCGGCCAAGGGCCAGAACGGAAGAAGCCAAAGCACGGAAAAAUAUUGGAUCAAGGAAUCGGGCCGGGUCCGGACCAGAAGACGGCAUCAACUGA
Molecule: ribosomal RNA, 324 nt
Filed under: Triticum aestivum (bread wheat)
Lineage: Eukaryota; Viridiplantae; Streptophyta; Magnoliopsida; Poales; Poaceae
Description: partial small subunit ribosomal RNA
Source: RNAcentral